GCAUCAAAAGGGAAUGGCACAUAUCUGGAGCAUGACAUCUUAAGUGAGCGCAGCAAGCUAUGAACGUGGGGUGACAAGGGGGCCAUAUCCUUAAUGGUGUAUCUUCCUUUCCUAGAGCUCAGGUUCUCAAGGCAGUGGGAGCUCCUGAAGGCGCCCUCAGUUGGGUGUUGGGGUGGGGGUGGGGAUGGUGGAGGUUCAUAUGGUACAGGCUUCUUAGGGGGCCACUUUAGCCAUCUAGGCCAGAUAUGAUGAAGGUUUGAACUACCUUCAGCUGUGAGCAGAGAGGGGUCAGGGGGGGCCUAAAUGGGUGGAGUCUAUCUGACAGAAAGGCUCUCCAGCAGCUUUUCCUCUCUUGAGCUUCUCAUCCUGCCUCUUAAUCCAAGUCAUAGUAUUAUAGAGACAGAAGAGAACCUGGAGAUCCUGUGGAUCAAUUCCUCUUCCAUUACACAGUCGGGACAUGCUUUGGCCAAGGUAAAGAAGAGAAAUGGCUGCCGCGUGGGGCCCGUGAUGAUGCGCUGGUUCAGUCUGAAGGUUGAAUCUGCCUGCUGGUGACUUUGCAUCUGACGGCUGUCUCCUCUCCAGUUCCUGAAAAAGAAUCCUCUGAGCUCCAGAUGACUUUUGGCUUCUUCUUCUUUGGUUCUAUGCAAGUACACAGAGAAAGAGGCAUCAUUUAGGUCCUUGAAAGCCAAGUGCUUCCCUUUCCGGCUCGUCUCUGCCCCACCUCCACCACACUGGACUGCGAGCUCCGUCAGGACGGGGCUGCUGCCUGUCGCUACUGCUCCUGCGCCUAGCAGAAGGCCUGGACCUGGUGGUGGUCCCUAAAUGCUGCCAAGCGGAGGCUGCAGAGGCCGUGGACUCUGCUGCUUACACGUAUGAGACCAAGGAGACAGGGAGGCAGGGCAUCUGUGUGAUCCUCACCGGUAAGAAAAAUGGGGCUCCGCGAUCCAAUGCAGUGACUUGCCCAGAGCCCCUCAACACUCAGGCUACACCUGCCCAGGUCAGUCCCAGCCUCAGGGGUCCAAUAUGGGGUGGCGGGUGUGUGUGGGUCCUGGAGGCCCAGAAUGCAAAGCACCUGCUAAGAUAGAGAAAACCAGGCAGGUGACCCUGCUGAGACACUGGUCCCGACACAUGUCCUGCCCAGACUUGCACUAUUUUGUCUGUUUUCUUUCCUGUGGUAACUCUCAGAGACCUGAAGAUGGCCCCAGUGGCCCAUGAGCCUUCCUGCCUCUCGGCCCAAGAUCUAGAAAGCAGGUUUCUAAGCCCCAUGACAUCCUGGGGCACCCCCCUGACCAUCCCUUUCCACUUCUCAGACAACCCUGUGUGCAGGGAGGAACCCUGGGAGGGACCCAGAGCCCCAGCAGGGAGGGGUAGGUGUUCCCUCUUGGCCACCCCCUCUGGGGAGCACUUUCUCAAUUUUUAUAUGGCUCUGCUCAGAGGAUGCUUCUCAGUGGGAGUGAGCAGUUCUUUUUAAGACACACCUACCUUGCCCCAGGCUCAGGGCUUAGGCUCCUCAGCAUCUUAUUCUUCUAGAGUCAUCCUGACGGGCCAGAUGCAUCAUUGUUUUUCAUUUUGUAGAUGAGGAAACUGAGGCACAAAGGGAUGAAGUGACUGGCCUGGGAGCCCCUGGCCAGGAGAUGGUGAAGCUGGGAUUUGAACCCAGGUACCUUUUGAGAAGCACAUGCUCCACUGCAGUGACCUACAGCCUUGUAUUUCCCUGAGGACGGCUGCCUCUCGCUGCCCUCCCCCAGCCCUGCCAGGCAGGCAUUCUGGCUGCACCUGUCGGCCUCCUUGGGGCCUGGGCCUUCCUGGAGACGCCGUUUAGGGGAGCCCACGAGGCCGUGACAGCAGAGUGAGGGGAAAGGGUUGUGUGGGGACUUGGACAGUUGCCCUCAGCUGGAGGGAGAGCCUGCAGCACCCAGCUUCCUUCAGGGGCCAGUGGGGGGCUGGGCUCUGUGACAUCAGCUGCUCCUCCGCAGCCCCAGCUUGGCCGCCCUCCUGACUCUCAAGCCACCGUUCUGGAUGGUUCAUGGUGGAGCCCAGCCACGAGCUUUUCCUAGCCAGCCAGCCACAGCCAGAUGCAGUCUGGCAGGGUUUGAGGAGGGGAGACAGGCUGGACACGAGAGGGAGAAGUGGAGGGGAGCUGUUGGACUUUGGAAUUAAAUGCACUGAAGCAAUGGCCAUAGUGGCUUGGGAAUCGGCAACUCUGGAGCUCUUACACCGUUUGCUUUAAUUGCACUCAGUGUUUGAAUUUGAAUAAGUAAUACACUCCCACGGGUUAAGGAAAGGAUUUAUUGUGGAAGGUCCUCCUCCAGCCUGUGUGUCCAGCAGCGUGGCUCCUCUUCCCAGAGGCAAUCAUGGUUUCUGUGUGUCUCUCCAGAGAUGAUCUGAGCACACAUGAGCAGAUAUGUAUAGAGGGUAUUUAUUUAUUUUAUUUAUUUUUAUUUUUAUUUUUUAUUUUUAUUAUUUUUUUAGAGGGUAUUUUAAAACAUUUGCAUACUAUGCAGAAAAUAAUGUUUUGCGCAUUGCU
Molecule: long non-coding RNA, 2527 nt
Organism: Canis lupus familiaris (dog)
Lineage: Eukaryota; Metazoa; Chordata; Mammalia; Carnivora; Canidae
Exons: 3
Source: RefSeq, a predicted model, not a curated record